AGUGAACGCUGGCGGUAGGCCUAACACUUCCAAUUCUAACGGCACCACAUUAAGAUCUUUCUCUUACGGUUGCCGAGUGUCGUACGGUUGAGGAAUACAUCGGAUUCUACUUUUUCGUGGGGGUUAUCGUAGGGAAACUUACUCUAUUACCUCUUACUACCUCCGGUUUAAAUCAGGGUUUCUUCGGACCUUGCGCGUUUUAUUGAUCCGAUUUCGGAUUAGCUAGUUGGCGGGGUAAAUGCCCACCAAGGCGACGAUCCGUAGCUGGUCUGAGAGGAUGAUCAGCAAAACUGGAACUGAGACAGGGACAAGACUAGUACGGGAGGCAGCAGUGGGGAAUAUUGGAAAAUGGGGGCAAGCAUGAUCAAGCAAUACCGAGUGGGUGAAGAAGGCCUUCGGGUUGUAAAGACCUUUUGUUGGGAAAGAAAAGAAGCAGGUUAAUACCCCGCUGUUCUGACGGUACCCAAAGAAUAAGCACCGGCUAACUUCGUG
This 492-nucleotide ribosomal RNA is filed under the name uncultured bacterium. Its description in RNAcentral is "partial 16S ribosomal RNA". It matches the Rfam family "Bacterial small subunit ribosomal RNA", at positions 29 to 507 of the family's 1533-position model. The record is from RNAcentral.